Long non-coding RNA from Chinchilla lanigera (long-tailed chinchilla), 327 nucleotides. RefSeq lists it as uncharacterized. Lineage: Eukaryota; Metazoa; Chordata; Mammalia; Rodentia; Chinchillidae. The record is from RefSeq and is a predicted model, not a curated record. The transcript is spliced from 3 exons.
AUGGAGCGAGGAGAUGAGCGUGUGGGUACCGUGGUGCCUGCCGCCCCUCACUCCCCUAAGCAGGAGGGCAGGCCAAGCAGCCCAGUCCUUGGAGGGGACCCCUCCCCAGGGUCAGAGCGAGGCCUCACCAGGGACAGAUGAAGAGACUGGGGCCCAGCUGCAGGGCUCCUCCAUGUGAGCAGACUUCUCUUCCCGUGUCAAGGGCGGCGGCCCACAGCUGUGCUCCAUAUUCUUCCUUUCCUUGGAUCCAGAAAGGGUUUCAGAAAAGAGAAAGCUUAACCCGGGAGUGGUGGCGCACGCCUCUAAUUCCAGCACUCGGGAGGCUGA